RNAcentral lists this long non-coding RNA (513 nucleotides) under Bos taurus (domestic cattle). Its description in RNAcentral is "long non-coding RNA NONBTAT022717". Lineage: Eukaryota; Metazoa; Chordata; Mammalia; Artiodactyla; Bovidae. The record is from RNAcentral.
UUUUAUAUAUAUUUUAAAUGAAAGCAAACUUGGGUGAGAAUCAGAGUAGAAGUCUCAAAGUUUGUAGAGUUUCCAUCGAGAGUGCUGAUGCUUUUGUGUUAAGGAGAUUUGUUGCCUUGCCUGGAGAUGAGAGCGUUUCUAGAUUUGGUAGUUUCAGAGUGGAUUUUUCUCACUGUUAACUAUGAAUUGUCCAUAAGACAAAAAUAAGCUUGAGGUAAAAUUUACUGUUUGAAAUUUCUUAACCUAAUUUAUGUAAGCUGAAAUUUUGUCAAAUGCUAUGGGCAUUAUCAAAAGAAUACCUUUUUAGAUCUGCUGAAAUUCUGAUCUAAUGAUCUUGGAGGAAAAUGAGUUUAUAACUCAUGAGUUUUACCUUAGGUCGAUUACUUGGGUUCCAUUCGGCCAUAGAUUUUUAUGGUUCAGAAGAAUUAUUCUUACCUUUUCUGAGAUUAAAUAUCACUUGAUUUUAUCAGUAUAACCAUAGCAAAAAAGUCUUACCCAAAGAAGCCCUAAAAA